This 253-nucleotide ribosomal RNA is filed under the name uncultured bacterium. RNAcentral describes it as "partial 16S ribosomal RNA". It matches the Rfam family "Bacterial small subunit ribosomal RNA", at positions 524 to 776 of the family's 1533-position model. The record is from RNAcentral.
UACAGAGGGUGCAAGCGUUAAUCGGAGUUACUGGGCGUAAAGGGCGCGUAGGCGGUUAUUUAAGUGAGAUGUGAAAUCCCUGGGCUUAACCUAGGAACUGCAUCUCAUACUGGAUGACUUGAGUAUUGUAGAGGGUAGUGGAAUUUCCGGUGUAGCGGUGAAAUGCGUAGAGAUCGGAAGGAACACCAGUGGCGAAGGCGGCCUUCUGGACCAGCACUGACACUCAAGCACGAAAGCGUGGGGAGCAAACAGG